This 831-nucleotide ribosomal RNA is filed under the name uncultured bacterium. Its description in RNAcentral is "bacterial SSU rRNA". It matches the Rfam family "Bacterial small subunit ribosomal RNA", at positions 8 to 814 of the family's 1533-position model. The record is from RNAcentral.
AGAGUUUGAUCCUGGCUCAGAACGAACGCUGGCGGCGUGCCUAACACAUGCAAGUCGAGCGUGAAAGUCCCUUCGGGGGCGAGUAAAGCGGCAGACGGGUGAGUAAUACAUAGGUAAUCUACCUUCGAGAUUGGGAUAACCCUGCGAAAGUGGGGCUAAUACCGGAUAAGACCACACGGCUCAAGUCGUGUGGUAGAAGGUGGCUUAUUUUUUAAAUGAGCUAUCACUUGAGGAUGAGCCUAUGGCCUAUCAGCUUGUUGGUGAGGUAAGAGCUCACCAAGGCUAUGACGGGUAGCUGGUCUGAGAGGACGACCAGCCACACUGGGACUGAGACACGGCCCAUACUCCUACGGGAGGCAGCAGUGGGGAAUAUUGGGCAAUGGGCGAAAGCCUGACCCAGCGACGCCGCGUGGGCGAUGAAGGCCUUCGGGUUGUAAAGCCCUGUCAUGUGGAAAGAACAGUUCCGUGGUGAAUAUCCACGGGAUUUGACGGUACCACAGGAGGAAGCACCGGCUAACUCCGUGCCAGCAGCCGCGGUAAUACGGAGGGUGCAAGCGUUGUUCGGAAUUAUUGGGCGUAAAGGGCGCGUAGGCGGUUGUGAAAGUCAGAUGUGAAAUACUUCGGCUCAACUGAAGAACUGCAUCUGAAACUUCAUAACUCGAGUACAGGAGAGGGAAACGGAAUUCCCGGUGUAGAGGUGAAAUUCGUAGAUAUCGGGAGGAACACCAGUGGCGAAGGCGGUUUCCUGGCCUGAUACUGACGCUGAGGCGCGAAAGCGUGGGGAGCAAACAGGAUUAGAUACCCUGGUAGUCCACGCUGUAAACGGUGAAU